RNA transcript from Salvelinus fontinalis (brook trout), 1535 nucleotides. It is a transcript of the gene named bromodomain-containing protein 4-like, with no coding region annotated. NCBI's taxonomy places the organism in Eukaryota, Metazoa, Chordata, Actinopteri, Salmoniformes, Salmonidae. The record is from RefSeq and is a predicted model, not a curated record. The transcript is spliced from 6 exons.
CUCCUUUUUGACACAGAGACUCCUCUCUCUUCUCUCCCGCUGCACUGUAGCCCUUUUCAAACUGGGAAGCUCCAGGUCAGUUUCCCUUGCCAAGUUUUACGGCCUGCCAUGUUGUCUAUUCUGCUCAGCUAUUUAAAAAAUGUUGAAUAUCAACAAUGGCUUUCACUGGUGCAUUGUCAACUUUGUAUGAAGCAAUCUUGGCUGAAUGAGAUGGGUCCCAGAGCAGGGAGGGCUCGGCUGUAGCAUGCAAAGAGACACCACAGGCGCCUGCCUGGUUCUCCCUCUCUUGCUCUGCUGCAGGUGGGAUCGAGGAGACAGGAGCAGCCGCCCCUCUCGUCCCUGUCUUAGCCCAGCCGGUUGCGUCUGCAUGGGGCUGGGCAUUCCACCCACUCGUCAGUUCUCGCCGCGAGCCCUUCCUCAUCCCAAGGCCCCAUCCCACUGGACCUGUCGUCUGGGAGCCACUGAACGUGUGACACCUCACACAGGGAUCGGAGAGCAGGAGCCCCGGAGGCCAGUCAGAGAUGGGUAUGAAGGACAGGCCCUCUGUCUUAAUGACUGACUGACUCACGGACAUGGCUUUCAACAACAUGGUCGGUCCUAGAGGAAGAAAUUAUGCUCUAGCAGUCACACAACCCAACACACGUCUGUUCACAGGUAGCCAUGUAAACCCCAUUGGAGAUGCAGGUUUGAAGAGAAGCAGAGGAAAUCCUCCACCCAACCCAGAGAAGCCCUCUCCAGGUCAGCAGCAACAUUGGAGUACCCCACUACCUGACAGGCUGACUGAUGCUCCAGACAAAGUGUUUCCCCUACCAUCCAUCCAUCUAUAGGCCACAGCUGUCUGUCUGUCUGUCUCCAAUCUGUCUGUCUUUCUCUGUCUGUCUUUCUCUCUGUCUGUCUGUCUGUCUCUCUGUCUGUCUGUCUCCCUCUCUCUGUCUCUCUCUCUCUCUCUCUCUCUGUCUGCAGGUUGGGACCUGAAAGAUGUGCCAGACCCUCUGCCAAACGUCGUCCUCCACCUCGCCCUGCAGACAUUGGCUCAUACUGCAUGACCCUCCAGCAUGACAAUGCCACCAGCCAUACUGCUCGUUCUGUGAGAGAUUUCCUGCAAGACAGGAAUGCCAGUGUUCUGCCAUGGCCAGCGAAGAGCACGGAUCUCAAUCCCAUUGAGCACGCCUGGGACCUGUUGGAUCGGAGGGUGAGGGCUGGGGCCAUUCCCCCCCCCAGAUAUGUCCUGGAACUUACAGAUGCCUUGGUGGAAGAGUGGAGUAACAUCUCAAAGCAAGAACUGGCAAAUCUGGUGCAGUCCAUGAGGAGGAGAUGCACUGCAGUACAUAAUGCAGCUGGUGACCACACCAGAUACUGACUGUUACUUUUGAUUUUGACCCCCCCUUUGUUCAGGGACACAUUAUUCCAUUUCUGUUAGUCACAUGUCUGUGGAACUUGUUCAGUUUAUGUCUUAGUUGUUGAAUCUUGUUAUGUUCAUACAAAUAUUUACACAUGUUAUUAAGUUUGCUGAAAAUAAACGCAGUUGACAGUGA